UUUGGUUUUAUAAAUAAUGCUGCCUUGAGCAUUCCCAAAUAAAUCUUUUGGGAACACAUUUUCAUAAAGAUAGACACCUAUGAAUGGGAUUUCUGGGUUUUAUGGUAAAUUCCUGUUUAACUUUUUAAAAAAUUGCCAGAUUGUUUUACAAAGUGGCCAUACCACUUUACAUUUUUGCUGGCAACAUAUGGUACAAUGUAUAUUUCAGUCUCUCUAUAUCCUGGCCAACACUUGUUAUAAUAUGACUUUUUGAUUAUAGCCAUUAUCUUCAGUGUGAGGUAGUAGUGAAUUUGAUUUUAAUUUACAUUUUCCUAAUAACAAAUGAUAUUGAGAAUCUUUUCAUGUACUUAUUAUCCAUUUGUGUAUAUUUUUUUCUGGUGAAACAUCUAUUCAAAACUUUUGUCCAUUUUUAAAUUGUCUUAUGCUAGCUUUUACCCAUAUCUUUUCUUACUACUUCACUGGAAAGAGUUCAUAUUCCUCACUUAGAUAGGAUUUCUCUAUCCUCAAUAGAGAAAUUGAGUCAGAUAGAGGUUAAGUAAUAUGCCCAGGGUCAUUCAUCCAACAAAUAACGGAAGGGGAUCUUCUGGCUUGAAAGCCUCAGAUUUCCCUAUUAAAAUUAUAGUCUGGUCAUUAGUGGUUGCUUGUAGCCCAUAGUCAUGUCUAUAUGAUCCAUACCACGAAAAAAAAUACAACUAAGACUUAGAAAUUGGAAAUCAAACAAAUACAGAAAUCCAAAUUUCUGGCUUCUUGUGAAAUGAUAGCAGAUCUAACAGCACUGGCCACAUUCCUGAACAAAAGCCUUCUGUAAGAGCUGAGUAGCAGUCCCCAGCUCUAGACAGACCAGGUGCUCACCAGGCAGCCAUACACAGUCCAACCUUCACUUUAUUCACUGACAUUCCAACCCUGUAGGUAUUCAAGUUUACAACCAUCACCCUGCAACAGGCUGUGUGUGCUCUGUGCCUUCAUGGGAAACUCUUCUUCACAUAGGUAAAAACAAAAGCAAAACAAAACAAAACGCCUCUACUAGGACAUAUGCACGUAAAAACUAUACAAAGCCAUCUGUGGCACAAAGACUCUGCAAUUUGGGACAAUAUUCACUGUAGAACAAAGUUCCCCUGGGACAGUGGUUAAAAAAAAGGCUUCUAAUUCAUUUCUCCAUAACCAAUACAUAAAACAAUAUUGUAAAAUUGGAACUGCUCUGAAAAAAAAAAAAAAAACAGUAGGGUUGGAGUUGUGCUUUAUUCCUAUCUUACAGAAAAAGAAACUGAAGCUCAGAGAGGUUCAGUGAUUAACCCAGAAUCACACAGCUAUUGGGGAAAUGAUACAGUUAGAAUCCAACCUAAAGCCUUUGAGAACUGAGGUCAGGGCUCCUAGCUACCCUGGAGUUGCCCUCUGUGAGCCAUUCUCCUCACUUAGAGUAAAUCUGCCUUGUUAGCAUCUGUGUUUCCAGUCCUGGCACAAUAGCUGACACACAGAAGAUGCUUUAUAAAUCUCUGUUAAGUGAAUAAAAAUACUAACAUAAACAUUUAUGAUAAAAACGUUACCAUUUACUUUGGUAACCAAUAUGGAGAUUCAGGUGAAAGAAAAAUAGAGUGUAGUGCAAUUAUUUUAAUGUAGCUGAGCAUUCAACUACAUUGGAGGGGAAAAGAUCACACAUUGAACAUGUUCUAUGUACAGGGUGUUGCUCUUGUUGCUAUGCAAGGGGGUAUAAUGCACAGUGCAGGAUGCACUUUGGUUUAGAGAGAUCUUGGGAAGGAAAAUGAUUUAUUAAGUACCUAGCUGCCCCACUUAUUCUGUUUCCCAUAAGUCCCACCACCCUGUAACCUAUAUAUAAGCAUUCCCAUCCCAGAUCCAAAAAUGAAAAUAUAAAUGACCUGCUCAAAGUUACCCAUGCUUGAUGAAGCCCACUUCCUUGCACUACUCCACAAAAGACUUAACAUUUAGGUUCGUGACCCAAAAUAAGAACAGAGGAAAACAAUGCCUGAACUAUUAAGGCAGCUCAAGAUUCACUUCAGAAGUUAUGUGAAUUGAAAGGAGGGGGACUCUCUGAGCCUUGAUUUCCUCAUCUACUCCCAGUGAGGCUGUGAGGAGUAGCUACCUCGGUGGAUGUGGAAGGGCUUUUGAGAUAGAAAAUAUAAAAUGCAUUGUCCUAAGCCAUUGUGUAUGGUCUCUGUCCUCUCAACUUUUCCAAAACCGUUCUUUCCAAGAUCAUCAAUGACCUCUUAUUAAUCAAAGGAGUAACAUUUUCUCAGUCUUUUCCAGCCAUCCUCUCCCUGCAACCUCUCAGAAAUAUAUUUGAUACUGGUACCCACUCCCUCCACUUUUUUUUCUGAAACAGACUGUCUCCAUCUCUAUCGUUACCUCUGUUUCUCUUUCUCUCUGUCUCUCUCUGUUUCUCUCUGUCUCUGUCUCUGUCUCUCUCUCUCUCUCUCUCACACACACACACACACACGCACACACACACCAUUAUGGGUUGAAUUGUGUGUCCCCCCCCCCCCCCCCCCCCCGCAAAUUCAUAUGUUGAAGUUCUAACUUCUAGUAAGUACCCAGGGUAUGACCAUUUUUGGAAACAGGGCCUAUAGACAUAAUCAAGUUAAAAUGAGGUCAUUAGGGUGGGUGCUAAUCCAAUUCAACUGACAUCCUUAUAAAAAGGGGAAAUUUGAACACACCUACACAUAUGUAGAAUAUCAUGUAGAAACUAGGGUUAUGCUGCUGCUGGCCAAAGAACUAAUAUAAGCUAGGAGAAAAGACAUGAAACAUCUUUCCUUAAUGCCCUCAGAGAGAGCAUGGCCCUGCCAGCACAUUGAUCUCAGACUUCUAGCCUUUGGAACUAUUCGAGAAUAAAUUUUUGUUGUUUAAGGCAUUCCAUUUGUGGUGUUUUUUAUGGUAAUCCUAGCAACUAAUACACACACACACACACAUCACAUGCAUAUUACAUCUCUUCAGAUCAUUCCUUCUUUAGUUCCUUUUCUUUCCCCCAAAUCUUUGUGUACCUCUUCUCCAAGGACAGGCCUCAUAUCUCUCAUUUCCCUCUGUA
RNAcentral lists this long non-coding RNA (3037 nucleotides) under Canis lupus familiaris (dog). Its description in RNAcentral is "lncRNA (ENSCAFG00845007101.1)". Lineage: Eukaryota; Metazoa; Chordata; Mammalia; Carnivora; Canidae. The record is from RNAcentral.